AUACUUUGAUUUGUUCAGGGUCUGAAAAACUCAAAUAUUGUUGUGUUGUCAUCAGCUUCAUCUCUAGUUUUGGCAACGAGUUGGGAGUUAAAUAACGGCACUAAAUUG
Molecule: small nucleolar RNA, 108 nt
Organism: Vicia villosa (hairy vetch)
Lineage: Eukaryota; Viridiplantae; Streptophyta; Magnoliopsida; Fabales; Fabaceae
Product: small nucleolar RNA snoR97
Exons: 1
Source: RefSeq, a predicted model, not a curated record